GAAAUGCGAUAAUUAAUGUGAAUUGCAGAAUUCAGUGAAUCAUCGAGUCUUUGAACGCACAUUGCGCCCCCUGGUAUUCCGGGGGGCAUGCCUGUCCGAGCGUCAUUGCUGCCCUCAAGCACGGCUUGUGUGUUGGGCUUCCGUCCCUGGCAACGGGGACGGGCCCAAAAGGCAGUGGCGGCACCAUGUCUGGUCCUCGAGCGUAUGGGGCUUUGUCACCCGCUCCCGUAGGUCCAUCUGGCAGCUAGCCUCGCAACCAAUCUUUUUAACCAGGUUGACCUCGGAUCAGGUAGGGAUACCCGCUGAACUUAAGC
RNAcentral lists this unclassified non-coding RNA (314 nucleotides) under plant metagenome. RNAcentral's name for it is "partial contains 5.8S ribosomal RNA, internal transcribed spacer 2, and large subunit ribosomal RNA". The stretch from base 1 to 105 matches the Rfam family "5.8S ribosomal RNA", at positions 50 to 154 of the family's 154-position model. The record is from RNAcentral.